AAACUUAAAGGAAUUGACGGGGGCCCGCACAAGCGGUGGAGUAUGUGGUUUAAUUCGACGCAACGCGAAGAACCUUACCAGGGCUUGACAUUGAGUGAAAGACUAAGAGAUUAGUUCCUAUCUUCGGAUACACGAAAACAGGUGGUGCAUGGCUGUCGUCAGCUCGUGUCGUGAGAUGUUGGGUUAAGUCCCGCAACGAGCGCAACCCUUAUCCUUUGUUGCCAGCACGUAAAGGUGGGAACUCAAGGGAGACUGCCGUCGACAAGACGGAGGAAGGCGGGGAUGACGUCAAGUCAUCAUGCCCCUUAUGUCCUGGGCUACACACGUACUACAAUGGGCUUAAACAAAGCGAAGCAAGACCGCGAGGUCAAGCAAAACGCAUAAACAAGCUCUCAGUUCGGAUCGGAGGCUGCAACUCGCCUCCGUGAAGUCGGAAUCGCUAGUAAUCGCAGGUCAGCAUACUGCGGUGAAUACGUUCCCGGGCCUUGUACACACCGCCCGUCACACCACGAAAGUUGACAACACCCGAAGCCGGUGGGGUAACCAGCAAUGGAACUAGCCGUCUAAGGUGGGGCCGAUGAUUGGGGUGAAGUCGUAACAAGGUAGCCGUAUCGGAAGGUGCGGCUGGAUCACCUCCUUUAUG
RNAcentral lists this ribosomal RNA (643 nucleotides) under uncultured Sporomusa sp. Its description in RNAcentral is "bacterial SSU rRNA". It matches the Rfam family "Bacterial small subunit ribosomal RNA", at positions 897 to 1533 of the family's 1533-position model. The record is from RNAcentral. Lineage: Bacteria; Bacillati; Bacillota; Negativicutes; Selenomonadales; Sporomusaceae.